GUAGGUGGCAAGCGUUGUCCGGAAUUAUUGGGCGUAAAGCGCGCGCAGGUGGUUCUUUAAGUCUGAUGUGAAAGCCCCCGGGCUCAACCGGGGAGGGUCAUUGGAAACUGGGGAACUUGAGUGCAGGAGAGGAAAGUGGAAUUCCACGUGUAGCGGUGAAAUGCGUAGAUAUGCGGAGGAACACCAGUGGCGAAGGCGACUUUCUGGCCUGUAACUGACACUGAGGCGCGAAAGCGUGGGGAGCAAACAGGAUUAGAUACCCUGGUAGUCCACGCCGUAAACGAUGAGUGCUAAGUGUUGGGGGGUUUCCGCCCCUCAGUGCUGCAGCUAACGCAUUAAGCACUCCGCCUGGGGAGUACGGUCGCAAAGACUG
RNAcentral lists this ribosomal RNA (373 nucleotides) under uncultured organism. RNAcentral describes it as "partial 16S ribosomal RNA". It matches the Rfam family "Bacterial small subunit ribosomal RNA", at positions 527 to 896 of the family's 1533-position model. The record is from RNAcentral.